RNAcentral lists this ribosomal RNA (446 nucleotides) under uncultured bacterium. Its description in RNAcentral is "bacterial SSU rRNA". It matches the Rfam family "Bacterial small subunit ribosomal RNA", at positions 331 to 793 of the family's 1533-position model. The record is from RNAcentral.
CCAGACUCCUACGGGAGGCAGCAGUGGGGAAUAUUGCACAAUGGGGGAAACCCUGAUGCAGCGACGCCGCGUGAGUGAAGAAGUAUUUCGGUAUGUAAAGCUCUAUCAGCAGGGAAGAUAAUGACGGUACCUGAGUAAGAAGCCCCGGCUAACUACGUGCCAGCAGCCGCGGUAAUACGUAGGGGGCAAGCGUUAUCCGGAUUUACUGGGUGUAAAGGGAGCGUAGACGGCAUGGCAAGUCUGAAGUGAAAGCCCGGGGCUCAACCGCGGGACUGCUUUGGAAACUGUUAAGCUGGAGUGCAGGAGAGGUAAGUGGAAUUCCUAGUGUAGCGGUGAAAUGCGUAGAUAUUAGGAGGAACACCAGUGGCGAAGGCGGCCUACUGGACGGUGACUGACGCUGAGGCUCGAAAGCGUGGGGAGCAAACAGGAUUAGAUACCCCUGUAAG